AUUGAACGCUGGCGGCAGGCCUAACACAUGCAAGUCGAGCGGAUGAAGGGAGCUUGCUCCUGGAUUCAGCGGCGGACGGGUGAGUAAUGCCUAGGAAUCUGCCUGGUAGUGGGGGAUAACGUCCGGAAACGGGCGCUAAUACCGCAUACGGCCUGAGGGAGAAAGUGGGGGAUCUUCGGACCUCACGCUAUCAGAUGAGCCUAGGUCGGAUUAGCUAGUUGGUGGGGUAAAGGCCUACCAAGGCGACGAUCCGUAACUGGUCGGAGAGGAUGAUCAGUCACACUGGAACUGAGACGCGGUCCAGACUCCUAAGAGAGGCAUGAGUGUGGAAUAUUGGGCAAUGGGCGAAAGCAUCGUCCAGCCAUGACGAGUGUGUGAAGAAGGUCUUCGGAUUUUAAAGCACUUUAAGUUGGGAGAAAGGGCAGUACGUUGAUACCUUGCUGUUUUGACGUUACCAACAGAAUAAGCACCGGCUAACUUCGUG
RNAcentral lists this ribosomal RNA (484 nucleotides) under uncultured bacterium. RNAcentral's name for it is "partial 16S ribosomal RNA". It matches the Rfam family "Bacterial small subunit ribosomal RNA", at positions 30 to 507 of the family's 1533-position model. The record is from RNAcentral.